This 328-nucleotide long non-coding RNA is filed under the name Rattus norvegicus (Norway rat). Its description in RNAcentral is "long non-coding RNA NONRATT006219". The record is from RNAcentral. Lineage: Eukaryota; Metazoa; Chordata; Mammalia; Rodentia; Muridae.
GAUCCCCCAGUGCAGUUUCGACCAGAGGCCAGCUGGGUCCAGUUCCACUUGGGGAUCAACAGCCACGGGCUGUACUCCAGGUCCAGCCCUGUCGUCAGCAAGCUCCUCCAUGACAUGAGGCACUUCCCCACCAUCAGCGCUGAUCACAGCCAGGAUGAAAAAGCCUUGCUGGGGGCCUGUGACUGCUCCCAGAGUAAGUGACAUGACUCCCCGCCUCCAGCCAGCCUCCAAUGGGCUCUCCCUGACCAACCUCUGAGAAUACAACACCCCCCCCCCAAGCCACCCACAGUAAAAGGCAUCUUGGAAUCUCUGAGGAGCAUCCUACAGG